This 496-nucleotide ribosomal RNA is filed under the name uncultured bacterium. RNAcentral describes it as "partial 16S ribosomal RNA". It matches the Rfam family "Bacterial small subunit ribosomal RNA", at positions 29 to 507 of the family's 1533-position model. The record is from RNAcentral.
AUGAACGCUGGCGGCGUGCCUAAUACAUGCAAGUCGAGCGAACAGACGAGGAGCUUGCUCCUCUGACGUUAGCGGCGGACGGGUGAGUAACACGUGGAUAACCUACCUAUAAGACUGGGAUAACUUCGGGAAACCGGAGCUAAUACCGGAUAAUAUAUUGAACCGCAUGGUUCAAUAGUGAAAGACGGUUUUGCUGUCACUUAUAGAUGGAUCCGCGCCGCAUUAGCUAGUUGGUAAGGUAACGGCUUACCAAGGCAACGAUGCGUAGCCGACCUGAGAGGGUGAUCGGCCACACUGGAACUGAGACACGGUCCAGACUCCUACGGGAGGCAGCAGUAGGGAAUCUUCCGCAAUGGGCGAAAGCCUGACGGAGCAACGCCGCGUGAGUGAUGAAGGUCUUCGGAUCGUAAAACUCUGUUAUUAGGGAAGAACAAAUGUGUAAGUAACUAUGCACGUCUUGACGGUACAUAAUCAGAAAGCCACGGCUAACUACGUG